ACUGGAGUUUGAUCCUGGCUCAGGACGAACGCUUGCGGCGUGCCUAAGAAAUGCAAGUCGAACGGGGGCUUCGGCCACAGUGGCGAACGGUCGCGUAACACGUAAGCAACCUGCCCUGAAGUGGGGGACAACAUCCCGAAAGGGGUGCUAAUACCGCAUGUGGUCAUGAGUCGGCAUCGACUUGUGUCUAAAGAUUUAUCGCUUCAGGAUGGGCUUGCGGCCUAUCAGGUAGUUGGUGGGGUAAUGGCCUACCAAGCCGACGACGGGUAGCUGGUCUGAGAGGACGAUCAGCCGGAUUGGGACUGAGAUACGGCCAGACUCCGUACGGGGGCAGCAAUUAGGAAUCUUGCGCAAUGGGGGAAACCCUGACGCAGCGACGUCGCGUGAAGGAUGAA
RNAcentral lists this ribosomal RNA (395 nucleotides) under uncultured Armatimonadota bacterium. RNAcentral describes it as "bacterial SSU rRNA". It matches the Rfam family "Bacterial small subunit ribosomal RNA", at positions 1 to 412 of the family's 1533-position model. Lineage: Bacteria; Bacillati; Armatimonadota. The record is from RNAcentral.